UACGUAGGGCGCAAGCGUUGUCCGGAAUUAUUGGGCGUAAAGAGCUCGUAGGCGGUCUGUCGCGUCUGGUGUGAAAACCCGAGGCUCAACCUCGGGCUGGCAUCGGGUACGGGCGGACUAGAGUGCUGUAGGGGAGACUGGAAUUCCUGGUGUAGCGGUGGAAUGCGCAGAUAUCAGGAGGAACACCGAUGGCGAAGGCAGGUCUCUGGGCAGUUACUGACGCUGAGGAGCGAAAGCAUGGGGAGCGAACAGG
RNAcentral lists this ribosomal RNA (253 nucleotides) under uncultured bacterium. RNAcentral describes it as "partial 16S ribosomal RNA". It matches the Rfam family "Bacterial small subunit ribosomal RNA", at positions 524 to 776 of the family's 1533-position model. The record is from RNAcentral.